AGCAUAUAUCCAUUCAGACCAAAUAAUUAGAGCACUAGAGAAAAAGUCUUUCCAAAACUAAUGCCUUGGCUUAGACCAGCCCACACCGAUACCCCGACACGGCAUUCACUCCACAGAACCCCACAGAUCGACUCACCCCGACUCUCUCUCCAACUCACUCCGACUCUCUCGCUGUCCGACUCACUCCACAGCCACCCCGACUCUCUGGUACCAAUACCCAACUCUCGUGGUAGCAUUCACUCUCUUUCCAAAACUCCACCGCUACUCCCAAUCCCCGACUCCGAAGCCCUUGACCACGAAUCCACCGCCUCCGAGAUCUCUCUAGUACCCAUCCCUGAAGCCCUAAACCACGAAUCUACCGCCUCUGAGAUCUCUCUGGUACCAAUCCCUGAAUAAUCCACGAUUUGUCUUAGAAUCUGGAAUUGGGUAAGAGUUCAGCAGACUUUGCGCAAUUUUGGCUUUUAGGCGUGAUUGCAGAAGUGCUUACUGACAUCAAAUAUGAGGCAGAUGUGUAUAUAUUCGGUGGUUGCAUUAAGUCAUGGAAAAACCUCUUUUUUGUGAGACCUGAUGCUGUGUUUAAUGGGAAGAAACCGAUCAGGUUGUUUCAGAUUUGUGUGUGCAUUUUUGGCUUUGAUUUUGAAUUUUUUGAAAGUUUCGGAGUUGGAUUUGAAUCUUGAGUACAAGCUAGAUGUCAGGGAAGACUUAGAGGCUGUGGGGAAGAAACUUGAAGAAUGCACCGAAAGGUGUUCGUGAAAAUGCCCCAGAGAAAAGCUCAUAAGUUACUAUGCAGGGUAUCUGAAAUCUUGCGAUAGCUCUAUUGAUCUUGUUAAUGUCCUGAAGCAUGAGAUUCAAGAUGGGCAACUGAGCUUUAGAGGAAAAAGGGUACUUAAGCUGGGUUGUAGCUAUGGCCUUCGAGGAAUUUUUGCUUGUUUGAAGGUAUUUAAGUCCCCAAGUACCCAUCAUGCCUCUGGAUCCUACCCUAUAGAAUGCUAUGAUCCUAAUUGAUUGAUUUAAUUCAAGAAAGAUGGUGAAGAAGAUGAUCCAAAUGGAAGCAAUGCGAACAGUGCCACCUGUGGAACUUGGUGGCAAGGUAUUCAUAUAAUAGAUGAAACUUGUAAUGGUUACAAUUUACAACUAUGUUAUAGAGUAGAUGAAUUGCUGAACUUCUGGCUUGUGUUUGCAGGUUCUCUCUAUUAUUAGGACCUUGCCCUUCCCUGACCAUGAACUCUUCAUUUAUUUGUGGUUAUGCUUUGCAUUGUUCCUUCUAAAUAUAUGUCUAGUAUCUAAGAUUUUGCAUUGAGUUUGUUGCUUGUUUUUUUUGGUAGUAAUUCAUGCUUGUAUGGCAUCUCCGCCACUUACUUCAUGGACUAUUAAGCAUUUUCUAAUGCGUUUAAGCAUUUGACUUUAUAAGAUCAACUUUCCCGUGUAAUUAUUAAUAUUACACGGGAAAGUAUCAGCUAGCAUCACUAUGAACAACAAUAAUGUUAAAAGACUCCUCCAAUGGAGGGGAAGUCACUUGAGAUGUUGGGAUGAGGCAGCGCUUCAACUAAUCUUUAUUCUUUAAGCCAUUCCUUUCCGUCCAAUUUGGAAUUACAGGGAAAUUGAUUGUUAUAUAUCUACGGAUCUAUCUGCAUGGUAAUGUGACGUGCACUCUGCAUGUAGAAUAUACAUGUGCACUGCAUAUAUUAAUUAUUUAUGGCAAUGGUAGUUGUAAUUAAGUUUGAUAAUAUACAUAUGCACUCUGCAAGUCUGCAUAUGAUAGAGCAGAUUCAUAACUCUGUCCAUGUAUCCGUAUAUGGACUAUUACAAAGCUAAUGCAUGUAUAAAGCCAUGAACCAUAAUAGUAAUUGCUAUCUCCCUUUUAGAAUAGACUGUAUGGACUUUUACUUUGUUCUUUUCCCUUUCUGGAAAUCAUCUUUUCAAGUGCAGAAGGCUAGCACUAGUUUAUUCUGCUGUCUUUUGUAUAUUUGGAUGCUAAUAUCUCUAUAUUACGGAUAUUCAAAUGUUGAUUUCAUAUUGUUGUCCUGCGAAGGCUGGCACUAGUUUAUUUUGUUGUCUCUUGGAUUAUCACAAGUUAAAAUUUUAUGUAGAUCAGUGCAUACCACAAACUGUUUCUUAAUCUAUAGAUGCACAAUUCCAGCAAUCUACAUUGCUAUGAGAACCUUGGUGGUAAAAGGAAAAUGUGACAAUUCAGUAUCCUUUUGAGGCAUGAAGUUUGAUGUGGUGGUUUUGUUCUGCAGGGAGAAGUGGAAACCUAUCUUUAAAAAGCACAUUUCUGGCCAAGUUUGUCGUGGUGGUUUUGUUCUAAAAACAAUUAUCCAGGUUUGAAGGCUGCUUAUAAACUGGACAAUCAUGUGGAAGAUGGAGCAGUGACGAAAGCUUUUGAAGUGAUAGAGAGAAAUUUGUUUAGCUAGAAGUUGUACUGAGGCUAGAAGUUGGUCUUUUUUGGGUUGGCCUUAAUUGCAGUUCUCCUAUAGAUGUGAUUAUGUGACAUUUUUAGGUACAUUUCUGGAUGUAUUUUGCUAUAAGAGUUUCAAAGAUGUGAUCCCUUAUUUUGUGGAUACAUCGGAUCCAUUUAGAUUGCUAUGGGAUUAUAACAGCUUUCUAUUAUGAUUAAAUUACUAUUCUUUUGGUCAUUCUUGCUUCCAGAA
Rosa chinensis is the source of this 2651-nucleotide long non-coding RNA. RefSeq lists it as uncharacterized. The record is from RefSeq and is a predicted model, not a curated record. The transcript is spliced from 6 exons. NCBI's taxonomy places the organism in Eukaryota, Viridiplantae, Streptophyta, Magnoliopsida, Rosales, Rosaceae.